AACCCUAGUCAAUAGACCUACGGCGUAAAACGUGUUUAAGGAACUCACCUAUAAAGUUAAACCUUAGCUAUGCUGUAAAAAGCUGCAGCUACUGUAAACUCUAAUACGAAAGUAACUUUAAAAUACCUGAACACACGACAGCUAAGACCCAAACUGGGAUUAGAUACCCCACUAUGCUUAGCCCUAAACAUAAAGAGCCCACCAACAAGGCUCUUCGCCAGAGUACUACUAGCCAAAGCUUAAAACUCAAGGGACUUGGCGGUGCUUCAUAUCCAUCUAGAGGAGCCUGUUCUAUAAUCGAUAAACCCCGAUAAACCUCACCAACCCUUGCCAACU
Molecule: ribosomal RNA, 336 nt
Filed under: Vampyrodes caraccioli (great stripe-faced bat)
Lineage: Eukaryota; Metazoa; Chordata; Mammalia; Chiroptera; Phyllostomidae
Description: partial 12S ribosomal RNA
Rfam family: Bacterial small subunit ribosomal RNA
Source: RNAcentral